GAAGAGAUGGUUCAGGCCCCGCCUGCAAACCACAACUUUGUUUUGAGCCAGCUUGACUUGACAGCUUCCCUGUUGUACCUGCUGGCUUCUUAGCUGUGCUUUGGCAGCCAGGAGAGCAACUAAACCGGUUUACAGCGAGCCAUUCAUCACCCGUAAGGCUGAACGACUCCCAGGAAAAUGAGGAAUUAAGUGGAGUUGAUCUUUCUCUCUCUCUUCCUUAAGUUUUCCAUUGUACGUCUCGGACUGUAGAAAACCCACGUUCUGCUUUGGCAGGAGAAACCUGAUGAUACAUUUAAGGCUUGUUGUGAAACACUUGGGUCUUUGUACACAUGUUCAUUUUCUCCCUUAAUGAGCACCAAGGCUUUGCUUCCCCAUUUUGGGUGGAAAUCCACAAAGGCAUGUACCUGUUUCUGGUUCUUCCUUGAGAACACGUGAAACGCGAACCGAGUCGGGCUGGAUCCUCAGGGCGAACGCCGGGCUUGGCGUGAAGCGUGUCCGCUGGGACGUGUGCGGCACCAGUACACGGGCCACGUUUAGCUCUUUCCCAACCCCCGUGUUUGCUCUUCUGGUUUUGUUUUUGCUUCUCUUUCUCCCUGUCGCUACCGACGUGCUUUCUUUGUGCUUCGUUGCUUCUCAUACACCAUGAGCGGCAGAACCAGAUCGUCAAGCGUGUUAAGAAGGAGCGGGCUCUGCACGUGAGGCUAAGAGUAACGGGCCGUUCAUCUGAGAGCCUGAGCUUCGUGGCUGGGGUGUCCCAGGGGCAAGAAAGAAACAUGUUGCUCGCUUCUCGGUCCAGGUUGUAAUCCGGAGAGAGGCAGGAUUCCUGGUGAGUUUUGGGUAGGGGUUUAAUCUUCUCAAGUCUUAGGGAGUCAAAAACCCUAUCAAAGAUGCAGUUAGAGAUACAAGGCGCAUUUGGCGUUUGGGUUGGACUGUUAUGGAUUAAUAAGUAAGUAACGCCCUAUAUCUGGCUCUUAGUUAAAUUUGAUCAUCUCUGGGCAUGUCACUUUUUCCACUGAUUUUUUUUUUUUUUUGUAGUGGGGAUACCUUUUUUUGCCUUGUUGAUUUGUUAUGAAGAGAGACAAAACACUUGUAAGAUGUUUGAGCAUCUGUAUUCAUAGAAAUCAUUACCUUAACGUCUUUGGGUCGUGCCAGUGAGACUGAGUGUGACGGGAUAACCUGUAGACCCGAUUCGCAGGAGUCGUCACUCACAUUGUCUCCGCAGGUAGGCUUGUGUUUGGCACUUGGAGCUCACAUCCAAUAGAAGGGCAGACUCCCCUAAGUCUGUUGUCUCCUCACCAUUGAAAUAUGUGGGCGUUCCCGCUGUGGCGUCAUGGGUUAAUGUUCCAGCUUGUCUCUGGAGGUGCCGGUUCGAUCCCUGGCCUGGCUCAGUGGGGUAAGGAUCUGGCAUUGCCGCAGCUGUGGCUCAGGUUCAGUCCCUGGCCAGGGAACAUCCAUAUGCCGUGGGUACAGCCAAAAAAAAGAAAAAAGAAAUUAAAAUAUGUAGAAAGUAGCCUACAGCAUUCUGUUGUCCCUGCCAUGCACCAUUUUUGCUGUGGAUGAAAAUGAAUAAGCAACUCUGGGAACCAGGGUCCUGUGGGAACAUAAAAACUCUUGUGGCUAUUAAUGGAUUUAAUUGUAUUUCCUCUCUGCCACCAAGAUGUGCAAUAAAUUGUUUAUGCCCUUAUCUUUAAUGGGGAGAAUUAUUCAUUAACUGUAUAUAAUAUCAUUAUCGAUUUGUUUUUAUUACUUGUAGCUAAUCUCUUCUAUCUUUCCCUUUUUAAAAAAAAUUAUAAAAAGGAAGAGUUAUAACAUUAUUAAACAUGGCCCAUUAUUAAUCCUCCUGGGUGACUUUUCUCUCCAAGGAGAGAAAGGAAAGUAUCAUCUCAUUGGGGCAACAAAAGCUCGGGUUGAAAAUGGGACGUGAUCGAGACUGAGAUUUGGCCUGGGAUUGGUUCCGUGUGCUCUGGUCUGGGCCGGGGCUGUGUGUACUUACGUCCCCGCGAGAGACUGGUUCUCAGGCAGCUUCGCGGAUGAGUGAGUACCGCGUCUCUGUGUGGCGGAGGAUUCGAGUCCACUUAAGAGAUCGUUUUCUAGAAAAAAUACUGUGUGGGGAGCAUGGCUCUAUUGGCGUUUUGUUUUGCUUUGCUUUGUUUUGUUUGAUGCUCACUCGGGUAUUUCCUCCUAUUCUUACCAUGUAUCUGGAGGGAAAAAAAAUAUCAGCAAGUUGCCAUAAUCUCUUCAAAACCAUGUGCCAGCAGUGCUUUGGCUCUAGAGUCUGGUUCCUCAUCUGGUGUUUCCUCACCGUGUGGGUUCGGAUCCGUCUCUGACUCUUUGCCUAAUAGCAACUGCCUGUAGGUGCCUCAUGCGCCUCGUCACCGUUCGAGUCGCCGAGGAGAGAGCGCUUAACGGCACUGCCCGAACCCAGCUCUCCCGAAGGUUAUCUUCAGGGGCAGGGCGGGGACCAAGGAAGGAGCAGGUGUUAGGCUGUGUGGACGGGCAAUGAAAGUGGGAAGGUGGGGUGAGCGAGGCAGAGGGUCAGAGUUUUCACAACGGUGCUUUGGAAGCCCCCUGAGAGGUGAGCCAAGGUGCGCGGCUCGCUCUUAGGCCACCUGCAGAGGGCACGGUAAGUACCGUUAAGGGCGGGGGGCCGCCACGAGGCCGGUGGGCUGGAGCCGAGCAAACGAGGUGGCGGGUCUUGGGGGCGAAAAUCAGAGAAGCGAAGGGACCCGGCUCUCGUGGGACUGGCUGUGAUCUUGAGUGAGACGGGAAGCUCUUGGGGAUUUUGAGCCAGAGGAGAGGCGUGCUUACGACUUACACAGCGACAUAACCACCUGCCCCUGCGUGUCGAGUAGCCCACGCAGACGGACAGUAGCCCAUAAAGCAGGACGCCAGUCAGGAGUAUGAAGGUGACCUACUGGGAGCUGAUGGUGGCUGCGGCCAGGGUGGUAGGGGUGGAGAAGAGAAGUCAUCGGCUUCUGGGUAUGGUAUUUUCAGACCUAAAGGAUUUGCUUAUUAGGAGUUCCCUGGUGGUUCAGCCAGUUAAGGAUCAGGCAUUGUCAUCAUUAGUAUCAUCUCUUUAUCUUAAGUGACAUUACCUGGGAGAGAGGAAACAGAAUUCUUCAAAGCUCUUGAGGAAGUUUGUUUCUCCUUUUGCCAUUUGUAAUUAAUCGGGAAUAAAUUUCCUUGGGAAUUUACUUCCUGCGGGAUGGAGUAACCCACAGGUUGGUAACUGCUUGUGUUAAAAGUCUAGAUAAAUUCUUUUUAUUGAUGUAGGCCGUGGUGAAGCCAUUGGAGCCGUGGGGUCUCAACAUCCCUCAUUAUCCUGCUGUCAU
RNAcentral lists this long non-coding RNA (3332 nucleotides) under Sus scrofa (pig). RNAcentral describes it as "lncRNA (ENSSSCG00015065774.1)". Lineage: Eukaryota; Metazoa; Chordata; Mammalia; Artiodactyla; Suidae. The record is from RNAcentral.